RNAcentral lists this ribosomal RNA (466 nucleotides) under uncultured bacterium. RNAcentral describes it as "partial 16S ribosomal RNA". It matches the Rfam family "Bacterial small subunit ribosomal RNA", at positions 28 to 507 of the family's 1533-position model. The record is from RNAcentral.
GACGAACGCUGGCGGCGCGCCUAACACAUGCAAGUCGAACGAGCGAGCGAGAGCUUGCUUUCUCAAGCGAGUGGCGAACGGGUGAGUAACGCGUGAGGAACCUGCCUCAAAGAGGGGGACAACAGUUGGAAACGACUGCUAAUACCGCAUAAGCCCACGACCCGGCAUCGGGUAGAGGGAAAAGGAGCAAUCCGCUUUGAGAUGGCCUCGCGUCCGAUUAGCUAGUUGGUGAGGUAACGGCCCACCAAGGCGACGAUCGGUAGCCGGACUGAGAGGUUGAACGGCCACAUUGGGACUGAGACACGGCCCAGACUCCUACGGGAGGCAGCAGUGGGGAAUAUUGCACAAUGGGGGAAACCCUGAUGCAGCGACGCCGCGUGGAGGAAGAAGGUCUUCGGAUUAUAAACUCCUGUUGUUGAGGAAGAUAAUGACGGUACUCAACAAGGAAGUGACGGCUAACUACGUG